This 80-nucleotide transfer RNA is filed under the name Patescibacteria group bacterium. RNAcentral describes it as "tRNA-Ser". It matches the Rfam family "tRNA". From Rfam's summary of the family: Transfer RNA (tRNA) molecules are approximately 80 nucleotides in length. Their secondary structure includes four short double-helical elements and three loops (D, anti-codon, and T loops). The record is from RNAcentral.
GCCCACGUCGCAUAGUGGUAUUGCACGGCACUGGAGAUGCCGGCCCUUUGGGCUCCCAGGUUCAAUUCCUGGCGUGGGCG